Molecule: ribosomal RNA, 140 nt
Filed under: uncultured eukaryote
Lineage: Eukaryota
Description: partial 18S ribosomal RNA
Rfam family: Eukaryotic small subunit ribosomal RNA
Source: RNAcentral
UGGUGGAGUGAUUUGUCUGGUUAAUUCCGUUAACGAACGAGACCUCGACCUGCUAAAUAGGUCUGGGAAUCCUCGGAUUCCUUAGACACUUCUUAGAGGGACUAUCGUUGUUUAGACGAUGGAAGUUCGAGGCAAUAACA